AUGUGUGAAUUCUGGUAUAACACUAACUGGCAUUCAGCUGUGGGUAAAUCCCCCUUUGAAGUGCUCUAUGGGCACCUUCCACGAUUUUUUGGUAUAUCUGCACCAGACUCUAUAGCUCCUGUGGAUAUCCAAGUGUGGCCGGAAGAAAGACAGGCAGUAGUGGAAUCUGUCAGGCAACACCUCCUGAGAGCACGACAACGCAUGAAAAGUCAGGCAGGUAAGCAUCAAAGAGAAAGGCAUUUUGCAGUGGGAGAUAAAGUGUGUCUGAAACUUCAGCCUUAUGUUCAGUCAUCAGUUGUGCAUCGAUCCAACCACAAACUUGCUUUCAAGUAUUUUGGCCCUUAUGAGGUUCUGGAGAAGAUUGGAGAAGUGGCUAAUCGACUGGCACUCCCACCGGGCAGUAAAAUACAUCCCGUUUUUCAUGUCUCGCAACUUAGACAGGUUGUCCAUCCUGACUGCACAAUCCAGAAAGUGCUUCCUUGUGCUACUGGCCAUUUGCAGGUUCCUGUCAAGAUUCUGCAGAAGCGUGUACUUUAA
Molecule: ribosomal RNA, 537 nt
Filed under: Triticum aestivum (bread wheat)
Lineage: Eukaryota; Viridiplantae; Streptophyta; Magnoliopsida; Poales; Poaceae
Description: partial small subunit ribosomal RNA
Source: RNAcentral